Molecule: long non-coding RNA, 787 nt
Filed under: Mus musculus (house mouse)
Lineage: Eukaryota; Metazoa; Chordata; Mammalia; Rodentia; Muridae
Description: long non-coding RNA chr7:69007382-69008169
Source: RNAcentral
ACGGGAACGUGGUGGAGGCGGCUAAGGAAGGUAUUCAGCGGGCACAGAGGGGUGAUCUGAUGAAGACAACACAAAGCUCGCUGCUCCAGGGGCUCCUUCUCAGAAGAAGCCCUCGGGCUUGCUUAUCUGCUUCGAGAAAGCAUUAAGAGCUAAUCUCAGCUCAGAGAGUGGGUGGGAUGUUUCGGCAACAAAGAGAAAUUCUUCUUUUGCUGCAAGGCAGAAUGGCAUGGUUGUUCCUGUCCAGAGAUGCUUCAGAGAAAGGCGAUGAGGUUCAAAUUAGGCUCCCCAGGGGCGUUCAUUUGCCUGGUCUGUUAAGGAAUGCUUGGAUGUGCAGGGGCACACCUCCAGGAUGCCCUUUGUUUUCAUUAACUCUGAGUAUUGUUUGUCCUGAAAUAUUAGGAAGAAGAGAUGCCUGUUGACUGUCUUUAUUUUGACUCCAUGGCUCUCAAACAGAGUUUCCAUGUCACAGGAGCAACUAUAAUUUACCUCGUUGUUUCUGCUCUUAUCUGAUCUCUCUUACUACAGGAAUGUCCUGGGUCUUGAAGUAUCUGAAGCUUCUUCUAACAGACAAACGGGGUUGGAAAGAUGGCUCAGUGGUGAAGGGCGUGCACUGCUCUUCUCGAGGACCUGAGUUCAGAUCCCAGCACCUACAUCAGAUCACUCUCCAUCACCUGUGACUCCAACUCUAGGGAGAACAAACAUCCCUGGCCUCUACUGGCAUUUGCUCUCACAUGUAUAUAUGUCACCCAAACAUAAACACACAAUUUAAAAUAAUAAAAAUCAAUCU